AUUGAACGCUGGCGGAAUGCUUUACACAUGCAAGUCGAACGGUAGAGGGGGCAACCCCUCGAGAGUGGCGAACGGGUGAGUAAUAUAUCGGAACGUGCCCAGUCGUGGGGGAUAACGUAGCGAAAGUUACGCUAAUACCGCAUACGAUCUAAGGAUGAAAGCGGGGGAUCGCAAGACCUCGCGCGAUUGGAGCGGCCGAUAUCAGAUUAGGUAGUUGGUGGGGUAAAGGCCCACCAAGCCAACGAUCUGUAGCUGGUCUGAGAGGACGACCAGCCACACUGGAACUGAGACACGGUCCAGGCUCCUACGGGAGGCAGCAGUGGGGAAUUUUGGACAAUGGACGCAAGUCUGAUCCAGCCAUUCCGCGUGCAGGAUGAAGGCCCUCGGGUUGUAAACUGCUUUUGUACGGAACGAAAAGGUCUCUCUUAAUACGGGGGACUCAUGACGGUACCGUAAGAAUAAGCACCGGCUAACUACGUGCCAGCCGCCGCGGUAA
This 496-nucleotide ribosomal RNA is filed under the name uncultured bacterium. RNAcentral's name for it is "partial 16S ribosomal RNA". It matches the Rfam family "Bacterial small subunit ribosomal RNA", at positions 30 to 523 of the family's 1533-position model. The record is from RNAcentral.